This 305-nucleotide ribosomal RNA is filed under the name uncultured bacterium. RNAcentral's name for it is "bacterial SSU rRNA". It matches the Rfam family "Bacterial small subunit ribosomal RNA", at positions 337 to 640 of the family's 1533-position model. The record is from RNAcentral.
CCCUACGGGGGGCAGCAGUGAGGAAUAUUGGUCAAUGGGAGAGAUCCUGAACCAGCCAAGCCGCGUGAGGGAAGACGGCCCUAUGGGUCGUAAACCUCUUUUGUCGGAGAACAAAACCCGGGACGUGUCCCGGACUGCGUGUAUCCGAAGAAAAAGCAUCGGCUAACUCCGUGCCAGCAGCCGCGGUAAUACGGAGGAUGCGAGCGUUAUCCGGAUUUAUUGGGUUUAAAGGGUGCGUAAGCGGUCCGUUAAGUCAGCGGUAAAAUUGCGGGGCUCAACCCCGUCGAGCCGUUGAAACUGGCAGA